CAUCUAUUCCCUCUGUCCGGAAAUACUUGUUAUGAAAAUGGAUAGAAGGGGAUGUAUCUAGAUGUAUUUUAGUUCUAGAUACAUCUCAUUUUAUCCAUUUUGAUGGCAACUAUUUUUGGAUGGAGGGAGUAUAUG
Non-coding RNA from Triticum aestivum (bread wheat), 135 nucleotides. The record is from Rfam. NCBI's taxonomy places the organism in Eukaryota, Viridiplantae, Streptophyta, Magnoliopsida, Poales, Poaceae.